AAUGUACGAGCAAGUGAUAUGUUGAAACAAUUGCUUGGAGCAUGUUUAGUCCAGAUCAUCCCAAAAUGACAUUGUAGACUGAAGGAAUCCAAACCACGAGGAAGUUAAGUCACACAAUUGAUUGCCAAGAUUGUUGUUCGAUGGUGAUGAAAAGUUCUAUCUCUCCUUCCACCUUGAUCGAGUCACCAAUAAAUCCAAUUAAAGGCAUAUUGACUAGUUUUAAUUGGUUAGUAGGAAGUC
Molecule: long non-coding RNA, 240 nt
Filed under: Elaeis guineensis (African oil palm)
Lineage: Eukaryota; Viridiplantae; Streptophyta; Magnoliopsida; Arecales; Arecaceae
Description: long non-coding RNA (EGUI_LNC048424)
Source: RNAcentral